This 674-nucleotide long non-coding RNA is filed under the name Rattus norvegicus (Norway rat). RNAcentral describes it as "long non-coding RNA NONRATT028995". Lineage: Eukaryota; Metazoa; Chordata; Mammalia; Rodentia; Muridae. The record is from RNAcentral.
GGGCAGCAUCACCCUGAGACAAAUGUUCAAACAGUUUGUUGAAAUUAUCUUUAGACAAUCUGUGCUACUAAUCUGUCACCUUCCAGAAUCGGGGCAGGGUGAGAGACUGAUAACCAGGUGCCAGCUGACCUAGGGGCCUCUCGGGAGAUCACAUUCCCAAAACCGAUCCUGUGGUCUGAUGAGAAUCAGGCUGACCGUACUGGGAUAAACUGCUAAACUGCUCAAAGCCAGCAGCCCCUCGGAGGGACACGGUUCAAAGGCCCAGCUUCUGGCUUCUAGUAUUUGAGAUUCUUAGGAUUCUUGUCUUUCACUCUUCAUGGGCAGAGCCUUUUAGGGUGACCCUUUUUAGCCACCCACAUCACACACAGCUCCUGUUUUCUGAGUUCUUAUUAAAUGAUAGGCUUCAAACACAAAACCAUGGUGUUGUAAAGACCCCAAAGUCCUCCAAAGACUGCCAAUGUCAACAUGGUGGGAGCACUGUAUUCACAGACCUUGCCAGUGUUAAAUUUCUGCAACCCUCUCCAGACAGUGUUGACACCUGCCUUUAAUCCCAGCACUUCAGAGGAGCGUCAGGUGGAUCUCUGAGUUCAAGGCCAGCCUGGUCUACAGAUUAAGUUCCGGGACCACAGAGAGAAAACCUGUAUUAAAAGAACAACAACAAAAACAAAACAAAA